GGAAUAUUGGGCAAUGGAGGAAACUCUGACCCAGCGACGCCGCGUGCGGGAUGAAGGCCUUCGGGUUGUAAACCGCUUUCAGCAGGGAAGAAGCGAAAGUGACGGUACCUGCAGAAGAAGCACCGGCUAACUAUGUGCCAGCAGCCGCGGUAAUACAUAGGGUGCAAGCGUUGUCCGGAAUUAUUGGGCGUAAAGAGCUCGUAGGUGGUUCGUCACGUCGGAUGUGAAACUCUGGGGCUUAACCCCAGACCUGCAUUCGAUACGGGCGAGCUUGAGUAUGGUAGGGGAGUCUGGAAUUCCUGGUGUAGCGGUGGAAUGCGCAGAUAUCAGGAGGAACACCAAUGGCGAAGGCAGGACUCUGGGCCAUUACUGACACUGAGGAGCGAAAGCGUGGGGAGCGAACAGGAUUAGAUACCCUGGUAGUCCACGCCGUAAACGGUGGGCACUAGUUGUGGGGACCUUCCACGGUCUCUGCGACGCAGCUAACGCAUUAAGUGCCCCGCCUGGGGAGUACGAUCGCAAGAUUAAAACUCAAAGGAAUUGACGG
RNAcentral lists this ribosomal RNA (547 nucleotides) under uncultured bacterium. Its description in RNAcentral is "bacterial SSU rRNA". It matches the Rfam family "Bacterial small subunit ribosomal RNA", at positions 358 to 916 of the family's 1533-position model. The record is from RNAcentral.